Molecule: ribosomal RNA, 253 nt
Filed under: uncultured bacterium
Lineage: Bacteria
Description: partial 16S ribosomal RNA
Rfam family: Bacterial small subunit ribosomal RNA
Source: RNAcentral
UACGUAGGGGGCAAGCGUUGUCCGGAAUUAUUGGGCGUAAAGAGCUCGUAGGCGGUCUGUCGCGUCGGCUGUGAAAACCCGGAGCUCAACUCCGGGCCUGCAGUCGAUACGGGCAAACUGGAGUGUUGCAGGGGAGACUGGAAUUCCUGGUGUAGCGGUGAAAUGCGCAGAUAUCAGGAGGAACACCGGUGGCGAAGGCGGGUCUCUGGGCCGUAACUGACGCUGAGGAGCGAAAGCGUGGGGAGCGAACAGG